This is a non-coding RNA of Pelodiscus sinensis (Chinese soft-shelled turtle), 528 nucleotides long. Lineage: Eukaryota; Metazoa; Chordata; Testudines; Trionychidae. The record is from RefSeq and is a predicted model, not a curated record.
CCAGAGGUUCACUUACAUUUCUCUUUGUUCUAGGAUAUGUUGCACCACUGCCAUCACAGCAUAAUUAUCCCAACAUGUACACCAUCAUUCAGCAGCCAGCUACCACCACCUCUGUUGUAGUGGUUGGAGGUUGUCCUGCCUGCAGAGUUGGUGUAUUGGAAGACACGUUCACCUGUCUUGGUGUCUUUUGUGCCAUCGUAUUCUUUCCAAUUGGAAUUCUUUUCUGUCUUGCUCUGAGGCAACGAAGAUGUCCUAACUGUGGGGCAACUUUUGGUUAAGGGAUCAACCUGAACAGGCUUAUGGAGGCCACAUCUGUUGUAGUACUUGUUUCUAAUGUAAAUGUCAUGUACAAUCAUUUUAUUUGAUUAUGCUUGAGACGUGUUUUGUAAAGUGUGAUUAGUCUUGCAUGUGAUGAACUUAAUCUGUUUUAUGAGCAUGUGCAUUGCAAAACAUGAAAAUCCACCUUAUUUCCAUGUUUAAUGGCACCUUUAAACUUAAAUAAAACUGCUUCUCUUUUUGCAAUCUUCA